GUUGGAUAUCUCACCGGGAAGAGAACCACAGGGACAGUGAGAGUGACGGCCACCAGCACAGCCAGACGCACACAGAGAAUCAGGACAUCAGGGGAUCCCAUGCGACUGUAGGCAGCCAGCAUUUUUCCUGGGUGACCAAAAGCCCGAUACCCAAGCUGCUCAUAGGCCCGGAUCCCUGAAAACACAUGAACGUGGGGAGGGAUGCACAAGAAUUCCAAUGCACAUGUACUGCAGUGUAUCUGUGCAAAUGGCAAAUAAAACUCUAUUCUACGUUACAUCUGCGUGUGAUAGGUUAUGAAUGAAGAAUUGACUUUUUGACUACAUAUGCUAAGUGAAUCUGGCUCCAACUUACCAACAACUCCAGCGCUUUUCAGCAAGAGAUGGAUCGAAUACGCAGACAGAAUGGCAAUGAAAGUCAACAGGAUU
This is a long non-coding RNA of Toxotes jaculatrix (banded archerfish), 426 nucleotides long. RefSeq lists it as uncharacterized. The record is from RefSeq and is a predicted model, not a curated record. Lineage: Eukaryota; Metazoa; Chordata; Actinopteri; Toxotidae. The transcript has 2 exons.